Molecule: ribosomal RNA, 1194 nt
Filed under: Triticum aestivum (bread wheat)
Lineage: Eukaryota; Viridiplantae; Streptophyta; Magnoliopsida; Poales; Poaceae
Description: partial small subunit ribosomal RNA
Source: RNAcentral
AUGUGUGAUGCUAGUGAUUAUGCUGUAGGUGCUGUUCUAGGGCAAAGAGUUGAUCAGAAAUUAAAUGUUAUUCAAUAUGCUAGUAAAACUCUAGACAAUGCCCAGAAAAACUAUGCUACUACUGAAAAAGAAUUCUUAGCAGUUAUAUUUGCUUGUGAUAAGUUCAGACCCUAUAUUGUUGAUUCUAAAGUAACUAUUCACACCGAUCAUGCUGCUAUUAAAUAUCUUAUGGAAAAGAAAGAUGCUAAACCUAGACUUAUUAGAUGGGUUCUCUUGCUACAAGAAUUUGAUUUACAUAUUAUUGAUAGAAAGGGAGCUGAGAACCCCGUUGCAGACAACUUGUCUAGGUUAGAAAAUGUUCUUGAUGACCCGCUAUCUAUUGAUGAUAGCUUUCCUGAUGAACAAUUAAAUGUCAUAAAUGCUUCUCGUACUACUCCAUGGUAUGCUGAUUAUGCUAAUUACAUUGGUGCUAAAUUUAUACCGCCUAGUUUCACAUACCAACAAAAGAAAAAGUUUUUCUAUGAUUUGAGACAUUACUUUUGGGAUGACCGACAUAUUUACAAAGAAGGAGUAGAUGGUGUUAUUAGACAUUGUGUACCUGAGCAUGAACAGGAACAGAUCCUACGCAAGUGUCACUCCGAAGCUUAUGGAGGACACCACGCUGGAGAUGGAACGACAGAUAAGGUAUUGCAAUCCGGUUUUUAUUGGCCCACUCUCUUCAAGGAUACUCGUAAGUUUGUCUUAUCUUGUGAUGAAUGUCAAAGAAUUGGCAAUAUUAGUAGACGUCAAGAAAUGCCUAUGAAUUAUUCACUUGUUAUCGAACCAUUUGAUGUUUGGGGCUUUGAUUAUAUGGGACCGUUUCCUGCCUCUAAUGGGUAUACUCAUAUUUUAGUUGCUGUUGAUUACAUUACUAAGUGGGUAGAAGCUAUUCCAACUAGUAGUGCUGAUCAUAACACCUCUAUUAAGAUGCUUAAAGAAGUUAUUUUUCUGAGGUUUGGAGUCCCUAGAUAUUUAAUGACUGAUGGUGGUUCACAUUUUAUUCAUGGUGCUUUUCGUAAAAUACUUGCUAAGUAUGAUGUUAAUCAUAGAAUUGCAUCUCCUUAUCACCCACAAUCUAGUGGUCUAGUAGAAUUGAGUAAUAGAGAGCUCAAAUUAAUUCUGCAAAAGACUGUUAAUAGAUCUAGAAAGAAUUGA